AUUGAACGCUGGCGGCAUGCCUUACACAUGCAAGUCGAACGGCAGCACGGGAGCAAUCCUGGUGGCGAGUGGCGAACGGGUGAGUAAUAUAUCGGAACGUGCCCGGUCGUGGGGGAUAACGUAGCGAAAGCUACGCUAAUACCGCAUACGAUCUACGGAUGAAAGCGGGGGAUCGCAAGACCUCGCGCGAUUGGAGCGGCCGAUAUCAGAUUAGGUAGUUGGUGAGGUAAAGGCUCACCAAGCCGACGAUCUGUAGCUGGUCUGAGAGGACGACCAGCCACACUGGGACUGAGACACGGCCCAGACUCCUACGGGAGGCAGCAGUGGGGAAUUUUGGACAAUGGGCGCAAGCCUGAUCCAGCAAUGCCGCGUGCAGGAUGAAGGCCUUCGGUUGUAAACUGCUUUGUUACGGACGAACGGUGAGCUCUAAUACAGUUUGCUAAUGACGGUACCGUAA
RNAcentral lists this ribosomal RNA (457 nucleotides) under uncultured bacterium. RNAcentral's name for it is "bacterial SSU rRNA". It matches the Rfam family "Bacterial small subunit ribosomal RNA", at positions 30 to 483 of the family's 1533-position model. The record is from RNAcentral.